ACGUCAAGUCCGCAUGGCCCUUAUGGGUUGGGCUACACACGUGCUACAAUGGGAAUGACAAAAGGAGGCAACAUGGCAACAUUGAGCAAAUCCCAAAAAGUUUCCUUAGUUCGGAUUGUUCUCUGCAACUCGAGAACAUGAAGUUGGAAUCGCUAGUAAUCGUAGAUCAGCACGCUACGGUGAAUUUGUAUCUAAGCCUU
Molecule: ribosomal RNA, 200 nt
Filed under: uncultured prokaryote
Description: partial 16S ribosomal RNA
Rfam family: Bacterial small subunit ribosomal RNA
Source: RNAcentral